GGGUGAGUCAUGCAGUCUGUGAAUGAGAGCCACAUGGGGUAGAGCUUGCCUGCGUGGGGACCUUGGUCACGCCUCUUAGAGCCACAGCUCAGCUCUUCAACACCCGGCAGUCCCCUCCCUGAGGUGUGCACGUCUGCGCUGUGUGCACGCAUGAACGUGUGGUGUCGCAGAGGGGGGCCGGCAGACAGGAAAGGAGGCUGUGACUCGGGAGGAAAGGAUUAGGGUUUGGAAAGGAGUCAAAGCUUGAGGGGAGGAUUUUGGCGGGAGUGCUUCGCUGCCCUCUCCUGGCCUCUGUGGGUUUGACCGAUCUUUUUUUUCUGCAGAAGCCAGCUUUCUCCUUUAGCCUGGGAGGAGCCAGGGAGCGGUGCUGACAGGGCAGAAUCCCUGCAGCCUGAGGGGUGGCUCUCGGGGAACCCUGGGACCAGCAGGGGAGCAGCUUCUGCCCUAGCUGUGGGACACCCUUCCUGCCCAGCAGGUGUUCAAGCAGAAGGAACAGCCUGACGCUCAUGACUGCAUGCCAGCAGGGGACAGAAGUGCCAGUCGUCCCCAGUGGGAGAGAAAACUGAAGCUCAGCGAGAAGAGACUUACCCAAGGUCACACCUGUAGUGCCUGACAGAGACGAAACGUGGACUCAACCGGCCCAGCUACACCUCCUGGCCCUGCCAGUGCCUGGGAGGUAU
Molecule: long non-coding RNA, 680 nt
Organism: Manis pentadactyla (Chinese pangolin)
Lineage: Eukaryota; Metazoa; Chordata; Mammalia; Pholidota; Manidae
Exons: 4
Source: RefSeq, a predicted model, not a curated record